GCAAACUCGCGAGAGCUAGCAAAUCCCAUAAACCGUGGCUCAGUUCAGAUCGUAGGCUGCAACUCGCNUACGUGAAGUAGGAAUCGCUAGUAAUCGCAGGUCAGCAUACUGCGGUGAAUACGUUCCCGGGCCUUGUACACACCGCCCGUCACACCAUGGAAGUUGGCCAUGCCCGAAGUCGUUACUCCAACCCUUGUGGAGGAGGACGCCGAAGGUGGGGCUAAUGACUGGGGUGAAGUCGUAACAAGGUAGCCGUACCGGAAGGUGCGGCUGGAUCACCUCCUAACAGGGAGACAACAAAAUGUUUAAUAUUAUUAUUUUGUCACCUUAGGUCGAUCGGUAUCUCACGUUCUUAAUUUAUUAAGAAUUUCAUUUCCUAAGUUUUUCUAGGUCACACCCAUUAUUUUUCCUGGGUCAUUAGCUCAGGUGGUUAGAGCGCACCCCUGAUAAGGGUGAGGUCCCUGGUUCAAGUCCAGGAUGGCCCAUAUCUCUAUGUUGGGGGUAUAGCUCAGUUGGUAGAGCGCCUGCUUUGCAAGCAGGAUGUCAGCGGUUCGAGUCCGCUUACCUCCACUGAUUACCACCUCUUCCAUAACCGGUAGAAAGGAAAUGUUUUGAGUUGUGAUCAUUAUUCUGAACGAAUCUAGCUUCCUAAUGAAAUCAUUAAGAUGCUGGACUCAUUGAAUUAAUUUCAUUGUUUUCAGAGAACCUUGACAACUGCAUAGAUUAUUUUUAAAGACAAUAAGCAUCUUUAAUGAUGCAGAUUUAUUAUUUGUGCGAAUGCAUUAAUAACAAUUCUAUUGAGCUGAUGCUUCAAUUUUUGAAGUUAUUGGUCAAGCUACAAAGGGCUCACGGAGGAUACCUAGGCACACAGAGGCGAUGAAGGACGUGGUUACCUGCGAUAAGUCUCGGGGAGUG
RNAcentral lists this unclassified non-coding RNA (915 nucleotides) under uncultured bacterium. RNAcentral describes it as "partial contains 16S ribosomal RNA, 16S-23S ribosomal RNA intergenic spacer". The stretch from base 1 to 286 matches the Rfam family "Bacterial small subunit ribosomal RNA", at positions 1249 to 1533 of the family's 1533-position model. The record is from RNAcentral.